RNAcentral lists this ribosomal RNA (273 nucleotides) under uncultured bacterium. Its description in RNAcentral is "partial 16S ribosomal RNA". It matches the Rfam family "Bacterial small subunit ribosomal RNA", at positions 524 to 796 of the family's 1533-position model. The record is from RNAcentral.
UACGGAGGGUGCAAGCGUUAUCCGGAUUCACUGGGUUUAAAGGGUGCGUAGGCGGGUUGGUAAGUCCGUGGUGAAAUCUCCGAGCUUAACUCGGAAACUGCCGUGGAUACUAUCAAUCUUGAAUAUCGUGGAGGUAAGCGGAAUAUGUCAUGUAGCGGUGAAAUGCUUAGAUAUGACAUAGAACACCAAUUGCGUAGGCAGCUUACUACACGAUCAUUGACGCUGAGGCACGAAAGCGUGGGGAUCAAACAGGAUUAGAAACCCCUGUAGUCC